AACGCACCUUGCGCUCCUUGGUAUUCCGAGGAGCAUGCCUGUUUGAGUGUCUUGAAGUCAUCAACCCCUCCCGCUUUUGCGUGGAAAUGGGGAUUGGAGUUGGGGGCCUGCUGCCGUGAGGCGGCUCCCCUCAAAUGCAUCGGUUGGACCUGCGGGUCGGACUCGACUGGGCGUUGUACCAUCCUCGCUCGACCGAGAAGUUCCCCUAUUAGCGUCCUCCCACGACUCGCCUGUGGAGCGGCAGUCAAUGUAAUUUGAAAUCUGACCUCAAAUCAGGUAGGACUACCCGCUGAACUUAA
RNAcentral lists this unclassified non-coding RNA (299 nucleotides) under uncultured Trechispora. Its description in RNAcentral is "sequence contains ITS2". The stretch from base 1 to 52 matches the Rfam family "5.8S ribosomal RNA", at positions 103 to 154 of the family's 154-position model. Lineage: Eukaryota; Fungi; Basidiomycota; Agaricomycetes; Polyporales; Polyporaceae. The record is from RNAcentral.